RNAcentral lists this unclassified non-coding RNA (1781 nucleotides) under Hevea brasiliensis (rubber tree). Lineage: Eukaryota; Viridiplantae; Streptophyta; Magnoliopsida; Malpighiales; Euphorbiaceae. The record is from RNAcentral.
GCAAACAAUACAGCGAUUAACAUAUAUAGUAGUAAGAUGACAUUUGAUAAUACUAGUGUCCAGUACAUAGCAUAUUCAUAUUUAUAGAUGUACCUUUUAAUUUACACUUUUGUUCUUCCAGUGAGGCGGGUGCUAUCUUAAUUUAUGCAUAACUAGGCUAGAAAUUAACAAGGCUUACUAGCAGAAUACCUAGACUUAAAAACAAAAAGAAAAAGAAGCCCUAAUACAUUAAUGACAUGAUAAGGCGAGGUCUUUGUUCUUCAAAGCAACUCAGCUGUACCAUCCUCUAAGGACAUGUUAAUUAGGUCUUCAUGACCCUGAGCACCACCUUCAUCAAAGAGCCAUUUCUCCAGCAAUGAUAAAGGAACUUGAUUCUCCAUGUUUGGCUUGCUUUCGUCUUGGAACAGGCAGGUUUCUGGUGUCAAAUUUGCAUUCUCAUCCACCGACUGAGACGCAUCGGAUGAGUUGGAAGAGUUGAAGCUAAAAAGUGAGUCAAAUCCCUGAUGAUCAAGUGUGGUUUCACUAUUUGCUCCUUCACUAGAACUGGAAUUGGCAGCUACUGCGUUGUUGAAGGAAGUUUGGGUAGUGUCUGAGUUCGUUUGAGCUUGUUUUGGUGAAUUUUUCAUCCAGUUUUCCAGCAAUCUUGCAAUGUUUUCUGCACUUGAUGCAUAGGUGGAUCCUUGUACUUGAUGCGGUCUUGUGUAAGGGUGAGAGGCAUUAGUAACAGAGGCCUUUGCUUCAGUUAAAGAGCUUGAUUUGUCAAGGGACAAGGCCUCACAAAGGGCUUGUUUAGCCAAACGGAUAUCAGUUUGGAGCCUUCUCUCCCACUGACCCUUUGACUGCUGUGAGGCUGAGAACCCAUCAUGAUUCUGCCCAUCUUGGAGCUUUCUGAGCUUCUUUUUCAAAUGGGUAUUCCAAUAAUUUUUUAUAUCAUUAUCGGUUCUCUGAGGAAGAUAGGAUGCCAUGGCUGCCCAUCUGCAUGCAAGCAACAUCAAAAUCUGGUUAGUUUACCAAGGUCCCAUAUAAACAAUAAACAGAAGAAAAACUAUUGGGAUUUGGAAAUAUAAGUGACAGAUUAUUUGAAGCCCACACCUAUUUCCCAGAAGAGCUUGGAGAUGGAUAAUCAUCUUCUCUUCAUGUUCAGUGAAGUUACCACGCUUAAUACCCGGCCGGAGAUAAUUUGUCCAUCUAAGCCGGCAACUCUUGCUGCAUCUAAGCAAACCUGAAAAACCCUCAAAGAAACAGUAAACCAAAACCACACCCUUAUAUGGAAAUAAUAAAUCUACCCCAACGUUUAGGGUACUGCCAAAGUGACAGCACAUGAACUGCAGAAUAUUAAAUGCACAGCUUUAAAGAUCAACCAACCCCAAACCAAACAAGAAAGAAAUGAGGAAAAAAAUUUACCUGUAUUAGUAGGAACCGAUCUCCAAUUCCCAGGUCCAUGUUCUUGUAUGUAAGAGACCAAGAUGAUAUCUUCCUCAGGCGUCCAUGGCCCUUUCUUGACUCCUACUUUGUCACAGCAAGGUGGUCUCCCCAUAUAUCCUAAAGAAUUAAGAACAAGCAGGUUCUUCUGUGUAGGUGAUAUAUCUAUAUGUAUAGUCGACGUUUGAGAAUCUUUUUUUCCCACCUUAGAAAUUGAGAGGCAAGCGUCCAAGGCAAGGAUUUGGGUUGUCUAUAUAUAGAGAGAAUAGACUUAACGAGGUGUGUACGCUGACCAAGGAGAGGUAAAGGGGAUUUUGCAUCCACAUAGUCAAAAUGGACAGCAGAGAGCAUUUACUUCU